This 242-nucleotide ribosomal RNA is filed under the name uncultured fungus. RNAcentral's name for it is "partial 26S ribosomal RNA". It matches the Rfam family "Eukaryotic large subunit ribosomal RNA", at positions 38 to 281 of the family's 3401-position model. Lineage: Eukaryota; Fungi. The record is from RNAcentral.
GCAUAUCAAUAAGCGGAGGAAAAGAAACCAACAGGGAUUGCCCUAGUAACGGCGAGUGAAGCGGCAACAGCUCAAAUUUGAAAUCUGGUCCUUCGGGGCCCGAGUUGUAAUUUGCAGAGGAUGCUUUUGGCGCGGUGCCUUCCGAGUGCCCUGGAACGGGACGCCACAGAGGGUGAGAGCCCCGUAUGGUUGGACACCAAGCCUAUGUAAAGCUCCUUCGACGAGUCGAGUUGUUUGGGAAU